GUGCAACGUGGAAAAAGUCGGUAAGAUGGAUGGAUGGAUGACGCAGAACUCGGACGGAAUCUGGUGGAACCCUCAGGUCGACCAGGUUUCAUCCGAGUGCGUUCGUGCGAUGUUUUUAUGGCCUGCUGGAUCUUUAUGGUUGGCGAUGUUCUGCUUGCUCCCAGGAUGGGAAUUAUGGAGACUAUGGCUUUGUGUUGUGCUGAAUUCAAUCAGGCACAUGCAUGCAUGCGAUGUUUUUCGGAAUCACAGGAUGAGGAUAAAUUGAAACAGCUGAUUUUGUUGCCACUACGUCGAUAUUUUUCUCGUUGGUGAAAUUCGAAGUACGUGGUCUCAGGGCAGACUAGCAUUUAUGGUAUGUUGCUGCUUACUUCGUCUACGUGCUCCGUCCGGAACCCUGGCCUGACCUCCUUGCGUCGAUAGACUUGCCAAUUUAUCGCGUCGAACUUCUUGCCGAAUUCUCGCAUCUUUGCGAUGGAGUCGACGUUGGCUGCUAGCAUUGCGAUACGGCAAUCUUCCCUCGUAUUGCGGAAAAGGACUUCAAAACGCCUUCGCUCAGACCAUGGCUCGGACAUCCCACGGAAGAUUUUAGCCAUUUCUAAAUAGAAGUCCUGGAACCUCUCACGUUGGCCUUGUUUUCGACCGUUGGCUUGUCUUUCGUAGACAAAAUCGAUGUCGUAGGCAACGAUCUCAACGCGCGUUCCUGUUGCUUGCGGGUGCCAGUAAUUGUUUCACCCCGAAGGAUUAGCUCAUGUUCCAACUCGUCGACGGUCAGAUGAGCACCAUUCAGCGAAUAAUACUGGAGUAGCAGAUGAGCCAUAUCCAUCCUGAUUAAUUAUUAAGACGAAUACAAGAAACAGGAAACAAAAAGAAAACUGGAUGUGUGCACGAUUUCAAAAUCCGACUAACAAUUUAAAAUCAACUCAAGAGCUUUAACAAUCAACUACACAACUAAAAUUAGUACGUAAUCUUUAAUGUAAGUACUAUUUUUUUUUAUUAUGUUGCACCAUAUGAAAAUCAAUAAAACAAGUUCCAGGACUGUGUUUUAUUGCCUAACCUUUCCCACAAAUGAUCUACUACAGUUUAAAAUUUUUGAAAUUUAAAAAUUAUAAUUUACAACUUAAUUUACAACUCCACAAAAACUAUUACUUUGAUUCUCAAUGAAGUUGGCUGGUUCUCUUAACUUUGUGAACGAACCAAGACCCCUCCAAAAGCAAUCCAAAUUGUCGACCUGAAUUUGUAGCCUUUUUUAUACAAUUGUCAAAGGCGUUUCAGAAGGUCUCGGAUGUUUUCCCAGAGACUUCUGCAAAAACCAAUAACUACUACACUUCAAACGUUUCCCUGCACAAACUAAAAUAGCGGAUCUAUUUUAGUUGAGCGCCAAGUAUAACCUUAUGGUUGGUUAGCCUGCCCAGCACCAAUGAGAUUCCCCCUCUAGAAGCCUCAGGGCCGGCUAUCCGCGUUCUAGCUUGCAACAAGAAAACACUGCGCUUAGUAGAAACGAACUUUCCCGUUUAUUGUAGUAUUGUCGACAAAA
Molecule: long non-coding RNA, 1534 nt
Organism: Uranotaenia lowii
Lineage: Eukaryota; Metazoa; Arthropoda; Insecta; Diptera; Culicidae
Exons: 4
Source: RefSeq, a predicted model, not a curated record